UUAACUGAAACCAAAAUAGAGGUGUAUUACUGUUAAUAAUACUAUUGAAUUCAUAAUCCAGUUAAG
This 66-nucleotide transfer RNA is filed under the name Elliptorhina javanica. RNAcentral's name for it is "tRNA-Asn". The record is from RNAcentral. Lineage: Eukaryota; Metazoa; Arthropoda; Insecta; Blattodea; Blaberidae.